CGAGAGUGGGCUAGUACUCUCGUGCCGAUCAUUACGAUCACCGGAUUAGAAUUUUCACCGGCGGUAAGAAGGAGCGGCAGGAGGCACAGGCACCCAGAAGUUUCUAAGCGUGUCGACUGCCGACUAGUGGAAGCACAAACUAGGUAAAGUGAUAAAUCGUCUUUCCAAAAGCUCAUUUCAUGUUUUUGUGGCAUGUCAUGUGGUUGGACUUUCAGGUAAUAAAAUCCAUGCUAUGGCUCACAAUAUCAGUUCGGUAUGACACACAACAUCAAUCCAUCUUUUAAUUAGAUAGACCAUACCAAAAGCUGAUACAAUUUUUAGACCCUUUUUCAAUGGUCUUGAAGAGAGAAAUUUUCUAUUUUUAUCUAUGGAGUCACAACCCAGGUCGUUGUAAAUCCAUGAAUUUGAUUCGGUUUGUAAGGCAACACCUUCUUUCUGUGGCAAAGGUCGAUUAGUUUCAAAGAAAAUCCAUGUUAAAUAGUUUGGUUUCCACAUAAUAGGGGAAAUCUCCACUUCCAAAACAAGUCCAGUUUAUGUAAUAAAUGUUACAAUAUAUGUGAAUUGUACUAGUCCUUUUCAUCAGUU
Molecule: long non-coding RNA, 585 nt
Organism: Hordeum vulgare subsp. vulgare (domesticated barley)
Lineage: Eukaryota; Viridiplantae; Streptophyta; Magnoliopsida; Poales; Poaceae
Exons: 2
Source: RefSeq, a predicted model, not a curated record